Molecule: non-coding RNA, 45 nt
Organism: Schistosoma curassoni
Lineage: Eukaryota; Metazoa; Platyhelminthes; Trematoda; Strigeidida; Schistosomatidae
Source: Rfam
AUCUAGCUGACGAGUCUCAAACAAAACGGAACACAUGUCCUAGAA